GAUGAACGCUGGCGGCGUGCCUAAUACAUGCAAGUCGAGCGAACAGAUGAGGAGCUUGCUCCUCUGACGUUAGCGGCGGACGGGUGAGUAACACGUGGAUAACCUACCUAUAAGACUGGGAUAACUUCGGGAAACCGGAGCUAAUACCGGAUAAUAUAUUGAACCGCAUGGUUCAAUAGUGAAAGACGGUUUUGCUGUCACUUAUAGAUGGAUCCGCGCCGCAUUAGCUAGUUGGUAAGGUAACGGCUUACCAAGGCAACGAUGCGUAGCCGACCUGAGAGGGGGAUCGGCCACACUGGAACUGAGACACGGUCCAGACUCCUACGGGAGGCAGCAUUAGGGAACCUUCCGCAAUGGGCGAAAGCCUGACGGAGCAACGCCGCGUGAUGGAUGAAGGUCUUCGGAUCGUAAAACUCUGUUAUUAGGGAAGAACAAAUGUGUAAGUAACUAUGCACGUCUUGACGGUACCUAAUCAGAAAGCCACGGCUAACUACGUG
RNAcentral lists this ribosomal RNA (497 nucleotides) under uncultured bacterium. Its description in RNAcentral is "partial 16S ribosomal RNA". It matches the Rfam family "Bacterial small subunit ribosomal RNA", at positions 28 to 507 of the family's 1533-position model. The record is from RNAcentral.